AUGUGAUGUGAGUCUCCUUCCUGACCCUUCCUGCAAGGAUCUGUGGGACAGACCCAGCAGGUGGUGCCCCAUGUAAGAAGCAAUGAAAUGCAUCAUGAUGGAACCCUCAAAAACGAAAGUGAAGUUACUGCACACCCCUUAGGUCCUCUUUGGAUUCCAGCAUGAUGCAUCAAACCUUACCACGGCAUGACUAGGGCCCAACCUGCUACCAGAAAUAAAGGAAAUGACGAUGCAGAACCCACAACCCUGGAUGAUGUGGCUUCCUUGGAUGACACAGGCCCCAGACAUUACCUGGGGAAUGCUGAAGAACACAACUCAGGAGGCUGAACAAAUCUGCUUCAGACACAGAUACCAUUCAAUCCAUAUAAUUUGUUCUUUGCUAUGCUUUUUAUUCCACAUUGCAACUCUUAUAGAAUACUGAUUCUUCUUAUUCUCUCUUUUUGCCUGCAACCCACACCUGCUAUAAACUAUUGGGCCCAUCUUCUAGAUCUGCCUUUCUUACGGCAUUUUACUUGGGAAGGUACCCCCUUCUCAGCCUCUGACAACGUGACCAAUUGGCUGGGAGGUAUUGACUUACCCCCGGUGGGGUCCCUCAGUAAUGGCACACAUUGGACUCAGGUGCCAAGUAACAUUACAUAUCAAUCCUUGAUUGGAAAAGAAUAAUAUUGAUUAUACUCAUGUUUGUCUUAUGUUAUUUACUGGUUCUAGGGUGCAAAGCUGGAACACAAACUGUAACCAUUGCACCAGUCAAACCUGUCGCUGCUCAGAUCUGUAUGCUUCAAUCAACAAAACCUGAUGCAAAAAAACAGAAAAAGGGGAGAUGUGGGAGAUUGGUCAGAGUGGUGGAAAAAGGAUAGGGAAAGAACGCAAAUUUUCUGAAAUGUUGGAAGGUCCUGCAGAGCUCCAGGGGAGAAUAGCUGAAGGCAGCUGUUCUAUAACCCUGAGGCAGAGAGCAAGCAGUAGGUACAAGGGAG
This 974-nucleotide long non-coding RNA is filed under the name Homo sapiens (human). RNAcentral describes it as "non-protein coding lnc-ZNF91-1:20". The record is from RNAcentral. Lineage: Eukaryota; Metazoa; Chordata; Mammalia; Primates; Hominidae.